AAAUGAAUAAUACUAAUUGGCUCCCCUGGAGUACUAAUUAAGAAACAAAAUUUACAAAAGCAUGAAAUGGUGGCUUUUCUUACUCAAUUUAUUUUUAGUUCAUUCUGAAUGCUUAUUACAAAGUUUCCUCGUUAAAUGUUAACACUUUAGAUGUUUAGCUCUUCUUCUUUUUUUAUCUAAGUAGAAAUAAAAAACUUUAUCUGAAAUGGGUGGAUUAAUUAUUUUAAUUCCAGAUUUUAUAAGCUUAAAAUUUAGAAUGGUACAUAUGAAUUUUUAAAGUGAUUUAGACGAUGUUAUUUAAAUUUAAGUUGAUUGUUUUUAAUUUUAUUACAUUGCCUAAUUUACAUUUAUGUAUUAUACACAAGUAACACCCCUAAUGUAAUCUAAACUUAUACGUUAAAUCGCUAGCUUAAUCUAGUGAGAAAUACAACAAAAAUUCAAUCAGGACUUUCCAUUGCAAAAAUCUUUAUAACCAAAUUAAUGUUCCGAUCACAAGAAUGUAUAAACUAGAAAAGAAAAUGUUUACAAUUUUCAUUUAUAAAUUGAAGUAGUGUAGUUCAAUCACAUAUUUUAGUAGGCAGUAGCCUUCUUCAUGUUGUGAAAUACAAGGUGUCAUGCCACAUGUAAGUCUUCCCAAAAUAAUGGAGUUGAGAUUCUGUCAAAUCUUUAUAUUGAUUAAAAACUAUCUUUCUCUAACUAUUUUAAUGCUUCUUCAUGCUUAGACUAAGAAAAUAAUAAGAGAAGGAUCAAAGCAACAACCUUAAUCUUUAUUAGAGGCCAUUUCGGUAGUGGAUGUGUAUAAAUUACGGCCUCUGUGAACAAGAGAUGCUCACACCAAAAUUUGCAUAAAGAGAAUACUGCUAUUUCUCCAAUGGCAUUGCCCAAAUUCGGUUUUGUAUUCACUAUUCUUCUCAUGGCAUCCAUCAGUUAGUAUUCAUCUCUCUUUAAUCUCUAAAUUGUAAUUAAUGCUACUGUAAGCGUGGAUAUACGCGCUGCUAAUUAUGUGGCCCUAUUCAUUUAUGUGUAUUUAUUUUUGAGCAUGUCGUAAAUGUGUAUUCAUGCUAUAUAAGUUAUAAUUUAAUUCUAACAAUAUUAUAAUGGUAUAUAUUUCAGUUAAUGUGUCGUGGCUCUCAAAGACGCAAAUUAUAGCUACACGGGAUAUUGAACGUGAUCUCUCAGGAUUUGGAAGGAGAUUACUUCCCGAGCUUAACACAUGUCUUCGAAGUUGUACUCCGCAUUCGUCUGAUUGCAGUGAUUGUUGGGUUUGUUGCGCAUGUACGCAUAGGGCUUUGCUUGGCAAUGUGUGUAACUAAGUGGAAGUAGUACAACAAUUUCCUUUGUAUGUUAUUGUUUCCUUGUCUUUCAUAUAUUGUACGAUUAUUUAAAAAGUGAUGUGACUUCCCGUUAAUGAAUAAUACUCUCUCCGUUUCAAUUUAUGUGAAUUCAUUUGACCGGGCACGAAGUUUAAGAAAAAAGAGAAGGCUGUUGAACUUAUGGUGUAAAAUGA
This 1507-nucleotide long non-coding RNA is filed under the name Nicotiana tabacum (common tobacco). Its description in RNAcentral is "long non-coding RNA (NTAB_LNC016537)". Lineage: Eukaryota; Viridiplantae; Streptophyta; Magnoliopsida; Solanales; Solanaceae. The record is from RNAcentral.